This 745-nucleotide ribosomal RNA is filed under the name uncultured Pezizomycotina. RNAcentral describes it as "eukaryotic LSU rRNA". The stretch from base 390 to 543 matches the Rfam family "5.8S ribosomal RNA". The record is from RNAcentral. Lineage: Eukaryota; Fungi; Ascomycota.
CUUGGUCAUUUAGAGGAAGUAAAAGUCGUAACAAGGUUUCCUUCACCUAUUGAAGCCUUCAGCAGCGACUGUAAAGAAAUGCGUAGUUUGCUUGCAAGCAAUGCCACUCAAAUGCUGAGACAUAUGAAUCAGCAGCCUUUUAGGCUCACAGAUCAAAUUGUGGUAACCAUUCUUAUGGGCAAGAUAUGACCGGUCUUAACUAGAGUUAGUUAAGAAUCCACGUUCCGUAGGUGAACCUGCGGAAGGAUCAUUAAAGGUUUCGGGUACCCAGUGCCCAAACUUCAACCCUAUGUUUUAACUAUACAUGUUUCUUUGCCGGUUUCGGCCGGCAGAAGUUUUCUCAAACUCCACUAUAAAUGUGUCUUCUGAAUCAAAAUUAAAUAAAUUAAAACUUUCAACAACGGAUCUCUUGGUUCUGGCAUCGAUGAAGAACGCAGCGAAAUGCGAUAAGUAAUGUGAAUUGCAGAAUUCAGUGAAUCAUCGAAUCUUUGAACGCAUAUUGCGCCCUUUGGCAUUCCGAAGGGCAUACCUGUUCGAGCGUCAUUACACCCUUCAAAGAUGACUCUUUGGCGUUGGGCAAUGCCUAAGGGCAUGCCUCAAAAUCAGCGAUGGUGAUAUUCAACCACAGACGCACACACGUCGUCUAGCUGGCGGGAUGUUGACAGUCAAUUGAUGAAUUUCUAAAUGUUGACCUCGGAUCAGGUAGGAAUACCCGCUGAACUUAAGCAUAUCAAUAAGCGGAGGA